RNAcentral lists this non-coding RNA (31 nucleotides) under Rattus norvegicus (Norway rat). Lineage: Eukaryota; Metazoa; Chordata; Mammalia; Rodentia; Muridae. The record is from RNAcentral.
UGAUGUUACCUAAUAUCGGUUGUGUCACUGU